GUGGGGAAUUUUGGACAAUGGGCGCAAGCCUGAUCCAGCAAUGCCGCGUGCAGGAAGAAGGCCUUCGGGUUGUAAACUGCUUUUGUACGGAACGAAACGGUCCUGGUUAAUACCCGGGGCUAAUGACGGUACCGUAAGAAUAAGCACCUGCUAACUACGCGCCAGCAGCCGCGGUAAUACGUAGGGUGCAAGCGUUAAUCGGAAUUACUGGGCGUAAAGCGUGCGCAGGCGGUGCUGUAAGACAGGCGUGAAAUCCCCGGGCUUAACCUGGGAAUUGCGGUUGUGACGGCAGUGCUGGAGUGCGGCAGAGGGGGAUGGAAUUCCGCGUGUAGCAGUGAAAUGCGUAGAUAUGCGGAGGAACACCGAUGGCGAAGGCAAUCCCCUGGGCCUGCACUGACGCUCAUGCACGAAAGCGUGGGGAGCAAACAGGAUUAGAUACCCGGGUAGUCC
This 450-nucleotide ribosomal RNA is filed under the name uncultured bacterium. RNAcentral describes it as "partial 16S ribosomal RNA". It matches the Rfam family "Bacterial small subunit ribosomal RNA", at positions 354 to 796 of the family's 1533-position model. The record is from RNAcentral.